This 203-nucleotide long non-coding RNA is filed under the name Elaeis guineensis (African oil palm). RNAcentral describes it as "long non-coding RNA (EGUI_LNC050401)". The record is from RNAcentral. Lineage: Eukaryota; Viridiplantae; Streptophyta; Magnoliopsida; Arecales; Arecaceae.
UUAGUGAUACUUAGCAGUAUAUAGUGACAACCUAGUAGAACUGAAAUGAAUCUCUAGAUGUAGUUAACAUGUGAUUCAGUCCUUUUAUCAUGAGUCCCGACUUGAUGGCAGGUCAUGGAUAAAUUGUCAAACCUCAACAUCAGUCAUAUGAUAGAUUCGAUUAGCACAAGUCCAAAAGUGAUUCCUAUGGAAACUCUUUUCCA